GUUAAAAUACCCUGAUUUUGAUUGCAAGUCUUCCAUAAAAACUACAGGAGCUUUUCACAUGUGCUAUGGUGUUAAUAAUCCUUGGGGAAGGGAGGCAGUGACAUAUGAAAGAGCGGUGGCUAUUGGUUUGCUUAUGCUGGUUUGUUUAUGCUGCCUUGUCUUGCCUCUCUUUCAGGUUCCAAGGGAUUAUUUGAUGAGAAGGAACUGUGCUGAUCCUCAUCUACUAAGGCAGUGGUAACGCAGGAUCUGGCUGGUAACAAGUCCUCAUCUCUGCUGAUAAUCACACUAUCUCUUGCCCACAGUACAUCUUUGUCUGAGGAACUUGGGAGAAAAUUAGAGCGAAACAGAUUUACUGGGCCGCAGGGUCUAAUUUACUGUAUUCACAGUCAGGUAUGUCAUAUAAUCCCUUUCAAAAUAUGAUCAUACUCCAUCUUUGAACUGGCUAGAAUAAGUAAUAGCAGCAGCCUCUGGGAUGCUUUCAACUUCUGAUGCCUUUAUGGGUCGUUGUUCUGAUCUCUAGUCUAAACGUAUUCAUGGUCGAUUUAUCCUGUCCUUCUUCCCUCUCCCCUUGUGAUUUGGGCAAAACAGUGCUCUGAGUUGUUCCAGCUAUUAAUGUUAAUUUCCUGUGACCUUUCCAUCCUUCACUGCAAUUGCUAACUAGGUAGCUGCAAAGAUGACUUUUCCUUCUGUAAGGAAGCUCUGUUAAUGACAUUUCUGUCAGCUUCCACAGUCGCUGCAAGGAAUCCACCUGUAAAUUUUGACUGCAUCUCUUCCUCUGAUUUGUUUUGCUGCUUAAGUUUGGUGGCUCAGAUGAAGAGAAAUCUAGGAACUUGUCUUGCAAUUCAAGUGGAAAAGACUUCCUUCCAGAGGGUCCCUCUUUGUGGUUUAACCAAGCAGGCAGCUCAGCACCACACAGCUGUUUGCUCCUUCCCUCCUCCCUGCCCCUGCAGGGGGAUGGGGGAGAGAAUCAUGAGAAAAANAAAAAAAAAAAAAAAAAGUAAAAACUUGGGGGUUGAGAUGAAGACAGUUUAA
Molecule: long non-coding RNA, 1032 nt
Filed under: Anser brachyrhynchus (Pink-footed goose)
Lineage: Eukaryota; Metazoa; Chordata; Aves; Anseriformes; Anatidae
Description: lncRNA (ENSABRG00000003606.1)
Source: RNAcentral